This 72-nucleotide transfer RNA is filed under the name Aquimarina mycalae. RNAcentral's name for it is "tRNA-Pro". It matches the Rfam family "tRNA". Rfam says of the family: Transfer RNA (tRNA) molecules are approximately 80 nucleotides in length. Their secondary structure includes four short double-helical elements and three loops (D, anti-codon, and T loops). Further hydrogen bonds mediate the characteristic L-shaped molecular structure. tRNAs have two regions of fundamental functional importance: the anti-codon, which is responsible for specific mRNA codon recognition, and the 3' end, to which the tRNAs corresponding amino acid is attached (by aminoacyl-tRNA synthetases). tRNAs cope with the degeneracy of the genetic code in two manners: having more than one tRNA (with a specific anti-codon) for a particular amino acid; and 'wobble' base-pairing, i.e. permitting non-standard base-pairing at the 3rd anti-codon position. Lineage: Bacteria; Pseudomonadati; Bacteroidota; Flavobacteriia; Flavobacteriales; Flavobacteriaceae. The record is from RNAcentral.
CUGGGAAGAUAACGGAGGUUGUUUACUCGCCUUGGACGCGAGAGGUCGCAGGUUCGAAUCCUGCUUCUCAGA